GGGGAGAUUCCCGAGCGGUCAAAGGUGGCAGACUGUAAAUCUGUUGCUUACAGCUUCGUAGGUUCGAAUCCUUCUCUCCCCA
RNAcentral lists this transfer RNA (82 nucleotides) under Treponema sp. Its description in RNAcentral is "tRNA-Tyr". It matches the Rfam family "tRNA". From Rfam's summary of the family: Transfer RNA (tRNA) molecules are approximately 80 nucleotides in length. Their secondary structure includes four short double-helical elements and three loops (D, anti-codon, and T loops). Further hydrogen bonds mediate the characteristic L-shaped molecular structure. tRNAs have two regions of fundamental functional importance: the anti-codon, which is responsible for specific mRNA codon recognition, and the 3' end, to which the tRNAs corresponding amino acid is attached (by aminoacyl-tRNA synthetases). tRNAs cope with the degeneracy of the genetic code in two manners: having more than one tRNA (with a specific anti-codon) for a particular amino acid; and 'wobble' base-pairing, i.e. permitting non-standard base-pairing at the 3rd anti-codon position. The record is from RNAcentral. Lineage: Bacteria; Pseudomonadati; Spirochaetota; Spirochaetia; Treponematales; Treponemataceae.